CCUGCAGGAUAGUGUGUAUCGGCUUAACGCUUUUUUGUGCGUCUUGUGCCAAAAGUGUUUCCUGCUAUAUUGAUCUGGGGAAAGUGGGCAGUUGGGUUAAGCUUUUGUGCUUUUUUCAACAAUCAUUUUCCUCUCAUUU
This is a small nucleolar RNA of Oryza rufipogon (brownbeard rice), 139 nucleotides long. It matches the Rfam family "small nucleolar RNA snoR135". The record is from Rfam. NCBI's taxonomy places the organism in Eukaryota, Viridiplantae, Streptophyta, Magnoliopsida, Poales, Poaceae.